Molecule: long non-coding RNA, 1230 nt
Filed under: Mustela putorius furo (domestic ferret)
Lineage: Eukaryota; Metazoa; Chordata; Mammalia; Carnivora; Mustelidae
Description: lncRNA (ENSMPUG00000023824.1)
Source: RNAcentral
AUUUAUAAAAUGGGGAUAGUUUAUGUGAAUUAACAAUAUUUUAAAUACGGGUGAUUCUUAAUUUCUCUGUAAUUUCCUAAUUUUGAUAUUUUACAUAUUUUUUCAUUUAAUAAUUAUUCUUGUUUCUGUAAUAGUUUAUACUAUUUUAAAAGAGCUAUUGUUAGAACAGUCUUUUUUUCUUAUAUGUUUUAUUAUUUGCAUAUAUGUGCCAAUCUUUAUUAUUUUCUUUACAGAAUGUCUCAUGCAUCCAUGGACCAAAAGAUGGAGUUGGUUUUUAUUUUUAAAAAUAGAUUAUCAGUGAUAUGAUAUGACUGUAAAUACUCGAUGAAGUUGCAUGGACUCAUCAUCAGGUUGGACUAGUGGUUACUUCUAAAAGUUUCUUCAACUACAGUUACUAUUUGAAAAUUCAGGCAUGCAAGAACAUUAGGUUUGGAGUGGCAUAAUGAUGUAUUUUCUCUAAGGACUGCAAAUUUCAUAGAGACCAUAGUUGGAUUCCAGUUGGAUUCCAGUUAUAUUCUUCAAUCAAAGUGAUUCAAUCCUUUGAUAAAGUUAAUUUUGAAGAGUUUUAUGUUUAUGAACGACGCCAAAAGAUGGGAGAAAAAAAUGGCAUCGGUCCAGAGUGUCAACAGGGAAGCAACACCUCUUCUGAGGCUGCAGUGGUGGCAGCAUCCCUAAUUAGCCAGAGAGUCCCUUUGGGUAAGAUGACUUUGCCAGGGAGAUUUGGGACUAUGAGACCUAAGCCUUUUAUGAAGGUUCUCACCCCACUGUCAAACUUAGAGGUUCUGGGUUUAAUUUUUAUUAAGGAAAAUCUAUUUUUUGUAAACUUCGUAGGCUUUCUGAUUGUUAAUCCUCCUAAUGGCUUCUCAAAUGAUCUUUCUAAAGUACAAUAAUUAUUGUGUCUCUCUUUUGUUUAAGGCCCUAUUAAUUAAUUUUGAACGUUUUAUAUAUUUUAACAUUUUAACAUACAUAAAUUUUAACAUUUUGGGUAUUUUUAUUACUUUUAAACAUGGUUCAUGUAUGCAAUUUGCUUUUGCCAGAGUAAUUGUCUUUCUCGUAUUUCUGUUUUCAGCUGUGAAAGAAUUAUUUCCUCUAGGAAAUUUUUUUUAAGUAAACUCUACCCCCAGUAUGUGACUCAAACUCAUGACCCAAAGAUCAGGAGUUGCUGGGCACCUAUCUUUAGGAAUUUUUGAUUAAGGUGUUCACUUGCUGGACAUCUGAAAUACUGGCCCA